This is a non-coding RNA of Spinacia oleracea (spinach), 94 nucleotides long. The record is from Rfam. Lineage: Eukaryota; Viridiplantae; Streptophyta; Magnoliopsida; Caryophyllales; Amaranthaceae.
UAGUUGCUCUGAUGAAUUGAUGGAAUAAUUCACAUGUCAGACUUCGGAGGUUGUUUCAACCUGUGAGAUAAAAAUCCUUAUUUCUGAGUAACAA